AGAAUCAACGCUGGCGGCGUGCCUAACACAUGCAAGUCGAACGCGAAAGGGACUUCGGUCCUGAGUAGAGUGGCGAACGGGUGAGUAACACGUGGGUGACCUACCUUCGAAUGGGGGAUAACGUCCCGAAAGGGACGCUAAUACCGCAUAACAUCCUGUCCUUGAACGGAUGGUGAUCAAAGCCGGGGAUCGCAAGACCUGGCGUUUGAAGAGGGGCCCGCGUCCGAUUAGCUAGUUGGUGAGGUAAUGGCUCACCAAGGCGACGAUC
Molecule: ribosomal RNA, 268 nt
Filed under: uncultured bacterium
Lineage: Bacteria
Description: partial small subunit ribosomal RNA
Rfam family: Bacterial small subunit ribosomal RNA
Source: RNAcentral